UCAGUUGCAAAAAGUGUUUUUAUGCAGAAGUUGUGAAGACAGCAUAGUAUGUGCAGGUCAUCUAUUAGCUAUUCAAAUAUGAGUACUACUGUGCCAUAAUUUCCAGCGUGGAGCUGUGUAGUUGCCUGCUUGCUCUGUAUGAAGGACAGCGAGAUUGGUUGAUCUGAGAUGCCGCGAUAUCUCUCUACCUGGAUGGAGGUCCUGCUAUGUCAUGUUGAUGUUGAGCAAGAAGUUUCAAUGGUGCUUUCAUUGGUAAACUUAAUAUUUAUUUACAUACUGUUGUGCGCUGUUAGCUGACGUUCAUAACGCUUGCCGAAGUGUGACACGUUGAGGAAUGAAUACAGGAGACAGAAAGGGUAGAAACCCGCCGUGGUGGCUUAGCGGCUAUACUGGGUCCAUGGGUCAGGACUGCCCAGCGGCUGUACCAAGCACCCAUGCAUGCCUGAGCUUGGUGCUCGGCCAUCGUCACUCGCACAGCCGCCCUCAAUCUCGGCAGUGGGUGCCCUGUAGUUUCAUAAUUUUAGGCGGUUUCAGACCUUGUUCUUGCUCAGUGGUGCCCAGUUGGCUGCCUUGGUCGGUGGCUUUGGACUGUUGGUGUCUCCAGAGAUAUCAGCUGCUCCCGAUCUUCUUGGCUGAUAGCCUCCCUCUCUUUUCUCCUGCCAUCUGUCUUUCUCCCCCCUCCUUUUUGGGUACACGCUCUACAUUUGUUACCAAAUCUCAGCGCACCACACCUUUGGAGUUCCAUGAGGCCACCGCUCAUUCGACCACAUCAUGCGCAUACAUGGUUCAAUUGCAACAGACCCCAUCGCCACACUUGGUCGUCCUCCACCUCUUUUUUUUUUCUUCUUUGCUCUACAUGUCUUCAUGCGAUUGCUUCUGCACUUCCUUUUCUUCACAUGCUACACAUACUAAGGUAAAAAGAUCAAGAGCAAAAGGAAUAUGUCAAGCAAGCAGUAGUUCCAGUCAAUCAAUUGAAGAACUUCUUUGUGUUGGCCUGGCACGAAAAAAUGGAGCAUGCAAGUUUGCAGACGCUGUGGUCUUCUUCCUAGAACUGGCUGCUGGGCCCACUUUGUAGACCAAAAGAUGCGCUCGACUCUUCUGUGACUUGUAGAGCUUCCAUCUUCAAUGUUUCCAGAUGUGUAUAGCAUGCAUAGCAAGCAACGGUUGUGGAAAGCUGCUGCAGCCGUUUUCUUUGAAUCGUUGCAUUGACCCAGAGGAUUAUGAUGGGGUGAAAUGUUACGUCCUUACCAACAUUUGUGGUGCUUGUCAUAGGGCAAACACCAGGAUCCGUUAUUCUUUCUUUUCUUUAAAUGCACAGCAUGCUUUUGCCAUGUAACCGCCCUUCCACACACAUCACAUGGUCUGUGGCAUUUGUCCCACUUCCAGCAUUGUUUGCAACUGUGCUGUCUUGUUAUAACUCUCUCUAUUUUUAAAAUGUUUCAAUACAGGCCAUGUGUGUGCCUCACACUCUGAACAAUGUACAUGGUAUUUUGCAGUGCACCAUGUGACUUUUGCUAUAAUUCCUGGAUGGGCUGCAUAGCCACAGGUCUUUGAGGCUUUUAUGGUUAGCACUCUUAAUUUUUUAGUGCUCCUGGAAGAAGCCGGUAGCUGGACCCCAUUGUCUAAACAGGUCAGGGUGCAUACAGGUCUUUGAAACCAUUGAAGACCCUUGAAAUUGAAAAGUAUGUUUUCAAGACACUUGAAAGUCCUGGAAUUGUUUCUUUCCCCUCGAAAACCCAAUUUCUUGAGUAAUGCAGUUUAAGAUUGAUUAUGUGACCUGCUUUCUGUGGCAGAUCAGCUCGGACCCGGCAAACUGCCCAUUUCAGGAACAAGUGGCAUAAAAAUUUAAAGCUAGUGUGAGUGCACACGAAUUGCACUUUGUGCUACUUACGGGGAACUGAAACCACACAGUGGGCGAGAGCGACAGACACCGGCACUUGGUGCUCGGUCCCCUCCCAUGCUGCUUCUUCGUGCUUCCUUUGUGCCUUGCUAGAAACUUGAAGUGCUCAAAUUUGAACAUUUUCAAUAUAACUUUUGAAUCUAGUGUAAUAAAGCUAUCUGUUGUGAAGAAAUGUUGUUAUAGUAAAAAAAUUGCUACAUUGGAUGCGGCACUGCACCAUUGAAAAAGCUUUGAUAGGGCCUUGAAAGUCCUUGAAAACCCUUGAAUUUUUGUCUCUGAAACUUGUACGAACCCUGACAGUGUAUUUAACAAAACUUGUUUUCUGGACAAUUCAUCUUGGGAAUGCUUUAUUUCUGUGCAGAAUAUGUAUGACCCCUCAAGAAAAACAAAAGUGACGUGCUGAGAGCCUACUGGCAGUGUCAAACGCAACACAGUAUGUGACUGAAGUGCCCUGGCGGGCUACUGCUCCACAACCAUUUGGUGACAUCGACUUGGCGUGGAACAGCAUCCGUCUUAUUCUGGGGUGUCUUGGCAAGUGUUGCACCUGCGCAUCUCCUUCAAAAUGUUGCGGGGGACAAACAGGCACGCUUAUACUCCACUGGGCCCGUUCCAGAGGAUGUAGUGAGAGAGAUGACUGGCCGCAACUCGCCUCGCCUGUGGAGUGCUCUACCUGCGGUUCCUUGCAUUGCCGGACCAUUGUGAGCGACUUACGAUGGGUCGAGAACAUGGAGUUACACGAGAUCAGCGGAACUGUCCUUGGCUUCCUGUUGCGCAUUCCACUAGUUGUAGUUUUAUUUCAGCUCUGCAGAACAUUCCACCACUAUGGCUUAUUGUUGUUUGUUUCCCUCUGUUGUUUGACUUGGGUGAAAAUAAACACCUUUAGUUAAA
Long non-coding RNA from Dermacentor silvarum, 2788 nucleotides. RefSeq lists it as uncharacterized. The record is from RefSeq and is a predicted model, not a curated record. The transcript has 3 exons. Lineage: Eukaryota; Metazoa; Arthropoda; Arachnida; Ixodida; Ixodidae.